This 253-nucleotide ribosomal RNA is filed under the name uncultured bacterium. Its description in RNAcentral is "partial 16S ribosomal RNA". It matches the Rfam family "Bacterial small subunit ribosomal RNA", at positions 524 to 776 of the family's 1533-position model. The record is from RNAcentral.
GACGAAGGUGGCGAGCGUUGUUCGGAAUCACUGGGCAUAAAGCGCACGUAGGCGGCGACGUAAGUUGGGCGUGAAAUCCCUCGGCCCAACCGAGGAACUGCGGUCAGUACUGCGUUGCUUGAGGAUCCAAGGGGUGCAUGGAAUUCCCGGUGGAGCGGUGAAAUGCGUUGAUAUCGGGAGGAACUCCGGCGGCGAAAGCGGUGCACUGGUGGAUUACUGACGCUGAGGUGCGAAAGCCAGGGGAGCAAACGGG